Molecule: ribosomal RNA, 292 nt
Filed under: uncultured bacterium
Lineage: Bacteria
Description: partial 16S ribosomal RNA
Rfam family: Bacterial small subunit ribosomal RNA
Source: RNAcentral
GUGCCAGCCGCCGCGGUAAUACGUAGGGUGCAAGCGUUAAUCGGAAUUAUUGGGCGUAAAGGGUGCGCAGGCGGAUGUAUAAGUCAGAUGUGAAAUCCCCGGGCUUAACCUGGGAAUUGCGUUUGAAACUAUAUGACUAGAGUGUGAUAGAGGGGAGUGGAAUUCCAUGUGUAGCAGUGAAAUGCGUAGAGAUGUGGAAGAACACCGAUGGCGAAGGCAGCUCCCUGGAUUAACACUGACGCUCAUGCACGAAAGCGUGGGGAGCAAACAGGAUUAGAUACCCCCGUAGUCC